Lycium barbarum (goji berry) is the source of this 836-nucleotide long non-coding RNA. RefSeq lists it as uncharacterized. NCBI's taxonomy places the organism in Eukaryota, Viridiplantae, Streptophyta, Magnoliopsida, Solanales, Solanaceae. The transcript has 2 exons. The record is from RefSeq and is a predicted model, not a curated record.
UUCUCCUCUUCUUUCUCCUUCAUCUCGCAGCCGCCUCCCUCUUCUCCCUCCUUCGUCUCUCUUUCAUCUUCAUCUUUCUCCUCACGUUCUCCCCACACCUGCUCCACUUACCCCUGUCCCCCACGCUUCUAUCGCCUUUGUUCCCCACGCCGCUCCUCUCUCAUACGCUCCUCUCUCUCCUCACUCUAUAAAGGUACAAGAAUUAUUCAGUUGAAGGGAGGCUUUUGAGAUUUUGGGAUUAUUCAGUAUUUUGGAAGGACACAACUAUCUUCCACGCUCGAUUUUUCCUUUUCCGGUGAACUUUAGCCGCGACCAAUAAUUACUCUAUUUUCAUUUUUGUUUUUGAAACUUUAGUUACUUUAAUCGGGUUCAGUUUCGUUCGAGUUCAAGCAUAAAUCCGAGACCUCGACGCCCCGUUCACUGCAUCCGAGAAGGACAUCUCGCAUACGAGUCCAAGCGACUCGUCACCUCCUUCCGCACUUGGCGUUGGGCUAAAAGCCCAACACAACUUCUCUGGAAUCAGUCCCAUACAGUAGCAAAUAAUUUGCAGUAAUAUAUAAAGAAAUCUGCUGGGUCGAAGCCCAACAGUCAGCAGAUCGCCGCAGUCCAAGAAAGUGGGCUGAGCCCAGUUAUAUUAUAUCUACUCCUCCAUUUUUAUUUUUUGUGUGCAUUUAAUGUGUAUUGUAUUGGCUAACAUUUUUUUGUUUGUUAAUUUAGGUAUACCUUAGUGACAUUAAGGGGUUUAGUUUAGUAAUGGGUAGUUGACUCCACAAAUUACAUUCACUUCUAUUUAUGUUAUAAACUAUUUAUGGUAUUUAUAGCAUUUAUUCGAGUAA